AUAAGUGAAACAACCAGACAAGCAAGAAUGUACAGAGGAAAGCUAAAAAAAGAAAAAAAAAACUGGAACAAAAAUGCUAAAGAAAAUGUUAGUAAGCAAGCUGCGAUUGCUGAAAAUGUCCCAAAUAAAGAGCCUCCCUUUUCUGGAAAUCAUUAUUUUAGAGGUCCUUGAUGUGUCAGAAUUAUAAGUCUAUUACAAAAAGCAAUCUAGUUUAGACUUUUAGCAGGUCCAUAAGGUAAAUGUUUAGUGACAAGUUUAAUUUUUUUUUUUAACAUAAUUGACGAGUUUCUAACAAAUUAUUUUCUUUACUAGUUACUCAAAAAAUGAAAUAAGUUAGACGAGCAACGAGAAUACAUGAACGAUUGUAUUCUAUUCUAGCGGAAGAGAGC
RNAcentral lists this long non-coding RNA (389 nucleotides) under Capsicum annuum. RNAcentral's name for it is "long non-coding RNA (CANN_LNC005550)". Lineage: Eukaryota; Viridiplantae; Streptophyta; Magnoliopsida; Solanales; Solanaceae. The record is from RNAcentral.